This is a long non-coding RNA of Carassius gibelio (silver crucian carp), 524 nucleotides long. RefSeq lists it as uncharacterized. The record is from RefSeq and is a predicted model, not a curated record. Lineage: Eukaryota; Metazoa; Chordata; Actinopteri; Cypriniformes; Cyprinidae. The transcript has 3 exons.
CGAUGCUAGUGUGUUCAAUUGGGAGGAUUGUGUUGGUCUUAAAUGUGGUAAAAUGUUUUCCCUGUUUGUAGAAAGGACAUGGACAGCUUGUAGUGGACGUAUAACAAAGAGGUGUCGGAUGGCCUGGGUUGGAGCUGUGCGACGCAAAAACAUCACCUUUGGAAACAUAUCUCCGUUUAUGUAUGUCUGCUCUCGACAUUUUCAUAAAGGUCACCCUGCAUAUGAGAUGAUGGAGACUGACCCAGACUGGUCCCUCCAUCUGGGUCACACAGAAAUCUCUCGAUGUGCAACAGUGUACGAGUACUCGACCGCGACAGCGAUGAUCGAUCACAUAAACGAUGAUUGAAAUGAUUAUUUUUUUAUUGGUUAUGGCAGCACGUUGGGCGGCGCCCUGAUCUCUGAUUGGUUAGCUUCCCACUUGAUGCCUCAAAAGACGUUAGAAGACAGAUAAUCAUGGCCUCAAAGUCAAGUAAGUGAUGGCUGGUUUCCCUUUGAGAAGAACGAUGAAAAUACAGUUCAGGGUA